UAGUUCCUGAAUAGGAUGGAAGAGGGCACUGGAUCUCCUGAGAAUGGUGUUACAAUCUGUUGCCAAGAUAGCAGUGACUGAGCCAUAAUGGGGAUGGAAUGUAUUUAUAGCAGAGGAUUCCUGAAGAAAUUCUGAUCAGGCAAGAUGCCACGGGACUAUUCACUGGAGUGAUUAGAGACCACUUCUUGCACAUACAGUUGCUAUGCAACUGAUGGGCGUAAUUCAGUAUGGGCGGUAAAUGAUGUUGGAAGGGCAGAGCCACAUGCCUGAAUUUAUCAAAUUCUGCUAACUGCUGAUGCUGGAACAUGAGCCCUUCAUUCAGUUAAAUCUUCACCAGCUUCUGUUUUCCCUGCUGUCCUUCCUUCAUUGCCUAAACUUGGAUGACCUGAAACUUGAUCUGUGGAACCCUGCCUCUGUCUCCUG
This is a long non-coding RNA of Mus musculus (house mouse), 423 nucleotides long. RefSeq annotates it as predicted gene, 41241. The record is from RefSeq and is a predicted model, not a curated record. The transcript is spliced from 3 exons. NCBI's taxonomy places the organism in Eukaryota, Metazoa, Chordata, Mammalia, Rodentia, Muridae.